GAGUAACGCGUUGGUGACCUGCCCCAAAGUGUGGGAUAACAGUCCGAAAGGAUUGCUAAUACCGCAUGUGGUCAUCGGGAUUAGAUGCCCGAUGUCAAAAGGAGAAAUUCGCUUUGGGAGGGACCUGCGUCCCAUCAGCUAGUUGGUAGGGUAACGGCCUACCAAGGCGUCGACGGGUAGGGGACCUGAGAGGGUGGCCCCCCACAAUGGAACUGAAACACGGUCCAUACACCUACGGGUGGCAGCAGUAGGGAAUAUUGGUAAUCUGCGAAAGCGGGAACCAGCAACGCCGCGUGUGCGAUGAAGGCCUUCGGGUCGUAAAGCACUUUUUGAGGGGACGAGGAAGGACGGUACCCUCAGAAUAAGUCUCGGCUAAC
Molecule: ribosomal RNA, 377 nt
Filed under: uncultured bacterium
Lineage: Bacteria
Description: bacterial SSU rRNA
Rfam family: Bacterial small subunit ribosomal RNA
Source: RNAcentral